GCAACUCGACUGCGUGAAGGUGGAGUCGCUAGUAAUCGCGGAUCAGCAACGCCGCGGUGAAUGCGUUCCCGGGCCUUGUACACACCGCCCGUCAAGUCAUGAAAGUGGGCAGCACCCGAAGACGGUGGCCUAACCCUUGUGGGGGAGCCGUCUAAGGUGAGGCUCGUGAUUGGGACUAAGUCGUAACAAGGUACC
This 195-nucleotide ribosomal RNA is filed under the name uncultured bacterium. Its description in RNAcentral is "partial 16S ribosomal RNA". It matches the Rfam family "Bacterial small subunit ribosomal RNA", at positions 1307 to 1500 of the family's 1533-position model. The record is from RNAcentral.